This 77-nucleotide transfer RNA is filed under the name Acidobacteriota bacterium. RNAcentral's name for it is "tRNA-Arg". It matches the Rfam family "tRNA". Rfam says of the family: Transfer RNA (tRNA) molecules are approximately 80 nucleotides in length. Lineage: Bacteria; Pseudomonadati; Acidobacteriota. RNAcentral also lists the same sequence under 2 other names. The record is from RNAcentral.
GCGCCCAUAGCUCAACUGGAUAGAGCGUCUGACUACGGAUCAGGAGGUUGGGGGUUCAAAUCCUCCUGGGCGCACCA